AGAGUUUGAUGGUGGCUCAGGAUGAACGCUGGCGGUAUGCCUAACACAUGCAAGUCGUACGAGAGUUUUUAACUCAAGUGGCGGACGGGUGAGUAACACGUGAGAAUUUACCUUUAGGAGGGGGAUAACAGUUGGAAACGAUUGCUAAUACCCCAUAUGCUUCCGAGUGAAAUAGAUUUAUCUGCCUAAAGAGAAGCUCGCGGCUGAUUAGCUUGUUGGUAAGGUAAUGGCUUACCAAGGCGACGAUCAGUAUCUGGUUUGAGAGGACGAUCAGACACACUGGAACUGAGACACGGUCCAGACUCCUACGGGAGGCAGCAGUGGGGAAUUUUCCGCAAUGGGCGAAAGCCUGACGGAGCAAUACCGCGUGAGGGAAGACGGCCUAUGGGUUGUAAACCUCUUUUUUCAGGGAGGAAAAAAAUGACGUGUACCUGAAGAAUAAGCAUCGGCUAACUCCGUGCCAGCAGCCGCGGUAAGACGGAGGAUGCAAGUGUUAUCCGGAAUCACUGGGCGUAAAGCGUCUGUAGGUGGUUUAAUAAGUCAACUGUUAAAUCUUGAGGCUUAACUUCAAAACUGCAGUCGAAACUAUUAGACUAGAGUAUAGUAGGGGUAAAGGGAAUUUCCCAGUGGAGC
This 633-nucleotide ribosomal RNA is filed under the name uncultured bacterium. RNAcentral describes it as "bacterial SSU rRNA". It matches the Rfam family "Bacterial small subunit ribosomal RNA", at positions 8 to 679 of the family's 1533-position model. The record is from RNAcentral.